RNAcentral lists this long non-coding RNA (2267 nucleotides) under Lupinus angustifolius (narrow-leaved blue lupine). Its description in RNAcentral is "long non-coding RNA (LANG_LNC003477)". The record is from RNAcentral. Lineage: Eukaryota; Viridiplantae; Streptophyta; Magnoliopsida; Fabales; Fabaceae.
UAGGAAAAACCCAGAUCCAAACAGAACCCAACAAGAACUAAAGCAGAUAAAAGAAGCAGUGCAGAAUUAAAAGGUUUUCUAAACAAAUCCAUGAUGGAAUUGGAAUUUGAUGUAGGAUUAUUUGACUAGGAGCUUGAUUUUUUUGGUACUGCUAUGCACUAACUGUAUGUAUAAGAAACAAAUCUUCUGGGUGAGUUGGUACUCCCAACCCCCAACAAGUGGGAAUCAAACUCAUGAUCUUUUGUUUAUUCUCGGAUGCUGUUGGUCUAGGAGCGUGAUUUGCAAGUGCCUUCAAUGGUUAUAUAGCAAACUAUUACUAGGAAGAGGAUUAUAAUGCCCACUAUUAUUCCGAACGUUAUGGGAUCCAUCAUUUAUGCUUUUUUUUCUUUCUUUCUUUCUUUCGUUUAUUGGAUAUAUAUUUGUUCCUUAACUAUGUACUCUCCCUUCUGUUCCGUGUUUAUGUUUAUUUUCCCUUCCUUUAUCACGCUGGCAGCAACAUUCAGUGCAGCUUUAACAUGAACUACAUUUCCAAUUCCUAGACUAAUUGACUCAAAUAAAUAAAAAAUGGUUCUAUUAACAGUAUUUUAUCAUCUUAUGGAUAAUUAUUCAAAACAAAUUCACUACCACACUCUUGAAUUUAGCAGAACCAACCACUAUAUAAUAGAUUUUUAAAUUAGAGUAACUAUAUAACUUAUUUACUUCUAAGAUUUUUCCCACUAAUUUUUUGGGACACUUUAAUUUCUACUUUGACUAAUAUUGUGUACUAUUAAGAAUAUAUUUUCACCUUCUUUAUUAAGAAGAUAUAUUUUGUACUACACUGUAGUUAAUCAAUUAACUAGUUACUUAUAUCAGUUUGUUUUUGUGAACUUGUGUGCGAUAAUCGAUUAUCUGAUUAAUAGUUUUGUUUUCUAUUUUAGUUGUUGUUAUAUAUAAAGGGGUAUUCCUCUCAUCUUUGUAAUCAAUACAUUAAUGAAAAAUAAUAUUUAGUGAAAGUUUUGAUUCUCGUUUUAUUUUCUUUCUUCUUUUUUUUAAGUUUUCUUUCUCAUUCAUUCAUUUCUUAUCCUUCUUGUUCAUGAAAAAUGUUUCUUUUAUGGCUCAUACCAAACUUUAACAGGGUAGCAGAAUAAAUUAAUUAUACACUUCAUGUUGUUGCGCCCUUAAUUCUCUUUUUCUUGAUCAAAUCUUUCUCCUUCUUCAUCAUCACCAAAUUUCCAAUUCCUCUGCUUCACUCCUUCAGUUCACUCAUCACCACUACCAACUCCACAAAACCAUCAAGAAUACUCAUUAUUCUCUCACAUUGCACUUAUUGGACUGAAAUAGUCACACAAUAUUAAGAAGAAGUGAGAGUGUAUUAUUUAUUAACAGAGCUCAUAUCUGCUUAGAAAAAGGUACAUGGAAAAGGUAUCUCUUAACAAAACAUACUAAGAAAUCAAUAACCAAAAAAAUAAAAUACCUAAACCAGAUAGUUCUUUAUCCUCGCUAUAAUGAUGAUGAUCAUGGUCACGGGGAUAACCAAACCCAUAUAAUUUAAAAUCCUCCUCCUCAGCUAACUCUUCAGGAAGCAAUGUUCUCUCCUUGGCAUCAUCACUAUGAUGAUGGUGGUGCUGAUGGGCAUGAGCAUGGCCAUGUCCUCCACACUGAUGAUGGUUAUGGUCAUGGGAGUGAGAGUGAGAGUGAGAGUAGGAAAAACCCAGAUCCAAACAGAACCCAACAAGAACUAAAGCAGAUAAAAGAAGCAGUGCAGAAUUAAAAGGUUUUCUAAACAAAUCCAUGAUGGAAUUGGAAUUUGAUGUAGGAUUAUUUGACUAGGAGCUUGAUUUUUUUGGUACUGCUAUGCACUAACUGUAUGUAUAAGAAACAAAUCUUCUGGGUGAGUUGGUACUCCCAACCCCCAACAAGUGGGAAUCAAACUCAUGAUCUUUUGUUUAUUCUCGGAUGCUGUUGGUCUAGGAGCGUGAUUUGCAAGUGCCUUCAAUGGUUAUAUAGCAAACUAUUACUAGGAAGAGGAUUAUAAUGCCCACUAUUAUUCCGAACGUUAUGGGAUCCAUCAUUUAUGCUUUUUUUUCUUUCUUUCUUUCUUUCGUUUAUUGGAUAUAUAUUUGUUCCUUAACUAUGUACUCUCCCUUCUGUUCCGUGUUUAUGUUUAUUUUCCCUUCCUUUAUCACGCUGGCAGCAACAUUCAGUGCAGCUUUAACAUGAACUACAUUUCCAAUUCCUAGACUAAUUGACUCAAAUAAAUAAAAAAUGGUUCUAUUAACAGUAUUUUA